UUUACUUCUACAUUCAUAUUUAUUCAUGUUUACUUCUACAUUCAUAUUUAUUCAUGUUUACUCCUACAUUCAUAUUUAUUCAUGUUUACUUCUACAUUCAUAUUUAUUCAUGUUUACUCCUACAUUCCUAUUUAUUCAUGUUUACUUCUACAUUCAUGUUUAUUCAUGUUUACUUCUACAUUCAUGUUUAUUCAUAUUUAUUUCUACAUUCAUGUUUAUUUCAUGUUUACUUCUACAUUCAUGUUUAUUCAUGUUUACUCCUACAUUCAUGUUUAUUCAUGUUUACUCCUACAUUCAUGUUUAUUCAUGUUUACUCCUACAUUCAUGUUUACUUCUACAUUCCUAUUUAUUCAUGUUUACUUCUACAUUCAUGUUUAUUCAUGUUUACUUCUACAUUCCUAUUUAUUCAUGUUUACUCCUACAUUCAUGUUUAUUCAUGUUUACUCCUACAUUCAUGUUUAUU
Molecule: long non-coding RNA, 463 nt
Organism: Ictalurus punctatus (channel catfish)
Lineage: Eukaryota; Metazoa; Chordata; Actinopteri; Siluriformes; Ictaluridae
Source: Ensembl